This is a long non-coding RNA of Corvus moneduloides (New Caledonian crow), 1747 nucleotides long. The record is from Ensembl. Lineage: Eukaryota; Metazoa; Chordata; Aves; Passeriformes; Corvidae.
AUGCUCCGUGAGAGCACUGAACUCUCCCACCUACUGAACUCCCACCUGCUCGUGCACACCCACGCUCACAGCCAGCAGGAAGCCAGAGGAGCAGAGCACAUGCACCUCAUGGCUGCCUGCAGGUGUCAUUCCCCACCGCUCCCGGACAGCCAACUGCCUUGUCACAUUUCAGACUCCCUCUCCCUCCCCUGCCCACCCACUGAGAGACGCAUCUCUUCCUCUCCUCCUCUCCUCUUUGCACAUCUCCGUGUCUGUGCUGUCACCAGGCCCAGGUUGCUGGAAGGAGGUGGCCUUUCUCUAUGGAUUUCCCCCGGUUCCUUGUGGCCAUCCUGCUGCCUGUGGGCUGGGCCCUUCAGCAAUCACCAGAUACAGUUGUCCGGGAGGGAGACCCUGUGACUCUGGAAUGUUCUGGAUCGGGGAGUGCAACGAGGCCCAUGUCCUGGUACAAGUUGCCCAUGGAGAAGGAUGCCAGCAUGCAGUUGGUUGUAUACUCAGUGGAAGGUGGCAAAGCAGAUAUUGAGAAGGAAUUCAGAAAUCGCUUCCAGAGUAAUGGGACUCGGAACAACCGUUUAUCUGUGAAGAUAGAUCAUGCCCUACUCAAUGACUCGGGCACAUAUUUCUGUGCUGAACAAGAUCCACAGUGACUCAAAGGCUGGUGCAGCACAGCACAAACCUUUCCAGGCAAACAGGGAUCUGCCACCAGCACACACUGAGCCCUGUGUUUGACCGAACGCCAUUUUCUUCACUUGCCCUCCAGCUCUUUCUGUAGAGACGAGGUUAUGCUUGUCUGUCUUUCUGUCUGUGCAUCUGUCUGUCUUCUUCAUGGUCUCUAGCAGCUUCUCUAUUCUCUCCCAUGUGGGUAUCACCUUUCUUCUUGUCCUCACUGUCUCACCUCAUUUCUCUGCCAUUCACAGAGAAAUACUCUGUCCCCCUGACCUUUCCUCUCCAUCCCCUGACGCCUUCCUAUUUCCUUCAUUCUCAUCCAUCUCUCCUUCCUUUCAGUCUGCUACCUCAGCUCAUGCAGAAGCACCAUGUGGAAUGCUUUGCACAGCGCCUUCCUUCUCCACCAGCAGGAAGGACAAGGCCAACUGGUCCUUGGCCCCACUGGUCUCCAGGCAAUGGGUACACUGCUGUGCAGCAGGGACCCCAAGUCACACCACUACCCUGGCAUCUGAAGACUCUGAUGUUUGAGAGCUGUCCCUGUGCACUGGAGGGACAGCCCAAGUUGGCCAUGGAAUGUCCCUGGUGACCAGGGCAAGGACUGGGAGGAAGAAGUCUGAGUGAACUCUUCAGCAGGGGUCGUUGGUGUUUGCCAGCAUCUUGUCUGGCCCAUCCACUACAUCCCCUGUUGCUUGCUGCAAGACACAAGGGCUGCCCUGACUUGUUUAUUCCUCUUUAUCUCCAGCAUAAAACAGAGUGCAAGGGCCCAGGGGAAUCUGAUGCUCACGGAAAUUUUCAUAAUCCGUCAAGAACAGAAGCUGGAAAUUCCUUACUGGAGUGUGAGGCACAGGCUUGGUCAGAGGUGCUGCAGCUCAGCCCAUAGCUGUGGGGACAGGGAGGUGCUGUCUGCUGCUCAAGUUGUUGUGGUUUAAGCCCAGUCAGCCACUCGGUGUCACAGACACUCACUCACCACCCCCUUCUCCUGCUGGGAUGGGAGAAAGGGUAAAACUUAUGGGUUGAGAUACAAACAGAGCAAGAAUAGGAGUAAAUAAAAAGGGAAAGAGAGAGAAAUAAAACUCAUCAAAAU